AUCGCUGAUGGCUCUAUCGCUUUUCCGGUUAAACGGAAGAGAGGAAAGUCCGGGCAACACAGAGCAUCCUGCUUCCUAACGGGAAGGGGCAAAAUCGGUAACGGUUUUGUCACAGCAAGUGCCGCAGAAAAUGACCGUCUCGCAAUUGUGGGAUAAGGGUGAAAACGUGAGGUAAGAGCUCACGGUAUGUUUCCGCAAGGAACAUUCGGGUAAACCUCAGGAGUUGAAAAACCAAAUAAGCCAUGGAUUGCCUUCGGGCAGGAAGAGCGGCUCGUUCAAGUUCCUUGCAAAAGGACGCCAUGGCGGGUAGGUUGAUUGAGGUGUAACGUGAGUUGCAUCCCAGAUAAAUGAUAGAGAUUCCGUUUGCGGAAUACAGGACCCGGCUUACAAGUCAGCGAUGAAC
Molecule: RNase P RNA, 403 nt
Filed under: Bacteroidia bacterium
Lineage: Bacteria; Pseudomonadati; Bacteroidota; Bacteroidia
Description: RNase P RNA component class A
Rfam family: Bacterial RNase P class A
About the family: Ribonuclease P (RNase P) is a ubiquitous endoribonuclease, found in archaea, bacteria and eukarya as well as chloroplasts and mitochondria. Its best characterised activity is the generation of mature 5'-ends of tRNAs by cleaving the 5'-leader elements of precursor-tRNAs.
Source: RNAcentral